UACGUAGGCAGCAAGCGUUGUUCGGAGUUACUGGGCGUAAAGAGUGCGUAGGUGGUGCCCUAAGUCUGUUGUGAAAUCUCCCGGCUUAACUGGGAGGGUGCGGUGGAAACUGGGGUGCUUGAGUGUGGGAGAGGUAAGCGGAAUUCCUGGUGUAGCGGUGAAAUGCGUAGAUAUCAGGAGGAACACCGGUGGUGUAGACGGCUUACUGGACCACGACUGACACUGAGGCACGAAAGCGUGGGGAUCAAACAGG
RNAcentral lists this ribosomal RNA (253 nucleotides) under uncultured bacterium. RNAcentral's name for it is "partial 16S ribosomal RNA". It matches the Rfam family "Bacterial small subunit ribosomal RNA", at positions 524 to 776 of the family's 1533-position model. The record is from RNAcentral.